CAACAACGUGAAGCUUCAAGGCACGAAAGUCUCAGCCUCCGGCGUCAGCCCCAACACCGACGGAAUCCACGUCCAGAUGUCAUCCCAUGUCACCAUCCUCUCCUCCACCAUCGCCACCGGCGACGACUGCGUCUCCAUCGGCCCCGGCACUUCCACUCUCUGGAUCGAAAACAUGGCUUGUGGCCCCGGCCACGGCAUAAGCGUCGGGAGUCUCGGAAAAUACUCUAACGAGCCCGGCGUACAAAACGUGACGGUUAAAAGUGUCAGCUUUACU
RNAcentral lists this long non-coding RNA (274 nucleotides) under Carica papaya (papaya). RNAcentral's name for it is "long non-coding RNA (CPAP_LNC004029)". The record is from RNAcentral. Lineage: Eukaryota; Viridiplantae; Streptophyta; Magnoliopsida; Brassicales; Caricaceae.